This 309-nucleotide ribosomal RNA is filed under the name uncultured Micavibrio sp. RNAcentral's name for it is "bacterial SSU rRNA". It matches the Rfam family "Bacterial small subunit ribosomal RNA", at positions 147 to 490 of the family's 1533-position model. The record is from RNAcentral. Lineage: Bacteria; Pseudomonadati; Bdellovibrionota; Bdellovibrionia; Bdellovibrionales; Pseudobdellovibrionaceae.
CAUCUGGAAACGGGUGCUAAUACCUUAUAAUAUCUUCGGAUCAAAGAUUUAUCGCCUAGGGAUUAGCCCGCGUCUGAUUAGAUAGUUGGUGAGGUAACGGCUCACCAAGUCGACGAUCAGUAGGGGGUCUGAGAGGAUGAUCCCCCACACUGGGACUGAGACACGGCCCAGACUCCUACGGGAGGCAGCAGUGAGGAAUAUUGGACAAUGGAGGAAACUCUGAUCCAGCCAUGCCGCGUGAGUGAAGAAGGCCUUCGGGUUGUAAAGCUCUUUCAGAUGCGAAGAUAAUGACGGUAACAUCAGAAGAAG